UACGAAGGGUGCAAGCGUUACUCGGAAUUACUGGGCGUAAAGCGUGCGUAGGUGGUUUUUUAAGUCCGUUGUGAGAGCCCUGGGCUCAACCUGGGAAUGGCAGUGGAUACUGGAAAGCUAGAGUGCGGUAGAGGGUAGUGGAAUUCCCGGUGUAGCAGUGAAAUGCGUAGAGAUCGGGAGGAACACCAGUGGCGAAGGCGGCUACCUGGACCAGCACUGACACUGAGGCACGAAAGCGUGGGGAGCAAACAGG
This 253-nucleotide ribosomal RNA is filed under the name uncultured bacterium. RNAcentral's name for it is "partial 16S ribosomal RNA". It matches the Rfam family "Bacterial small subunit ribosomal RNA", at positions 524 to 776 of the family's 1533-position model. The record is from RNAcentral.